This 253-nucleotide ribosomal RNA is filed under the name uncultured bacterium. RNAcentral describes it as "partial 16S ribosomal RNA". It matches the Rfam family "Bacterial small subunit ribosomal RNA", at positions 524 to 776 of the family's 1533-position model. The record is from RNAcentral.
UACAGAGGUCCCAAGCGUUGUUCGGAUUCACUGGGCGUAAAGGGCGCGUAGGCGGUUUGACAAGUCUGAUGUGAAAUCCCGCAGCUUAACUGCGGAACUGCAUUGGAAACUGUUUGACUAGAGGAAUGGAGGGGAGACUGGAAUACUUGGUGUAGCAGUGAAAUGCGUAGAUAUCGUAAGGAAGACCAGUGGCGAAGGCGGGUCUCUGGACAGUUCCUGACGCUGAGGCACGAAGGCCAGGGGAGCAAACGGG